GUCCUUUAGUAUAUAAUUUAAGGUCUAAUCUGCCCUAUGAUUAUUUAAAUGGCCGCAGUAAUUUGACUGUGCAAAGGUAGCAUAAUCAUUAGUUUUUUAAUUGAAAGCUUGUAUGAAUGAUUGGACGAAAUAAAUUCUGUCUUUGAUCAAUAAGUAGAACUUUAUUUUUAAGUUAAAAAGCUUAAAUAUUUAUAUUAGACGAGAAGACCCUAUAGAUCUUGAUAUUAAUGUUCAUUAAUUUUAUUUAGGAUUAUUUAAUAAUUUAUUGGCUUUUUUAUUUUAUUGGGGUAAUAUAAAGAUUUAAUUAAUUCUUUAUUAAAUUUUACAUAAAUAAGUGAUUAUUUUGAUCCUUUAUUAAAGAUUAUAAGAUUAAGUUACCUUAGGGAUAACAGCGUAAUUUUUUUAGAAAGUUCUUAUUGAUAAAAAAGUUUGCGACCUCGAUGUUGGAUUAAAAAUUAUUUUAGGUGUAGGAGCUUAAAAAUUUGGUCUGUUCGACCAUUAAAUUUUUACA
Molecule: ribosomal RNA, 511 nt
Filed under: Vatellus haagi
Lineage: Eukaryota; Metazoa; Arthropoda; Insecta; Coleoptera; Dytiscidae
Description: partial 16S ribosomal RNA
Rfam family: Archaeal large subunit ribosomal RNA (bases 385-511)
Source: RNAcentral